RNAcentral lists this ribosomal RNA (466 nucleotides) under uncultured bacterium. RNAcentral's name for it is "partial 16S ribosomal RNA". It matches the Rfam family "Bacterial small subunit ribosomal RNA", at positions 28 to 507 of the family's 1533-position model. The record is from RNAcentral.
GACGAACGCUGGCGGCGCGCCUAACACAUGCAAGUCGAACGAGCGAGAGGAGGUUUCCUUUCUCAAGCGAGUGGCGAACGGGUGAGUAACGCGUGAGGAACCUGCCUCAAAGAGGGGGACAACAGUUGGAAACGACUGCUAAUACCGCAUAAGCCCACGACCCCGCCUCGGGUAGAGGGAAAAGGAGCAAUACGCUUUGAGAUGGCCUCGCGUCCGAUUAGCUAGUUGGUGAGGUAAUGGCCCACCCAGGCGACGAUCGGUAGCCGGACUGAGAGGCUGAACGGCCACAUUGGGACUGAGACACGGCCCAGACUCCUACGGGAGGCAGCAGUGGGGAAUAUUGCACAAUGGGGGAAACCCUGAUGCAGCGACGCCGCGUGGAGGAAGAAGGUCUGCGGAUUGUAAACUCCUGGUGUUGAGGAAGAUAAUGACGGUACUCAACAAGGAAGUGACGGCUAACUACGUG